This 497-nucleotide ribosomal RNA is filed under the name uncultured bacterium. Its description in RNAcentral is "partial 16S ribosomal RNA". It matches the Rfam family "Bacterial small subunit ribosomal RNA", at positions 28 to 507 of the family's 1533-position model. The record is from RNAcentral.
GAUGAACGCUGGCGGCGUGCCUAAUACAUGCAAGUCGAGCGAACAGAUAAGGAGCUUGCUCCUUUGACGUUAGCGGCGGACGGGUGAGUAACACGUGGGUAACCUACCUAUAAGACUGGAAUAACUCCGGGAAACCGGGGCUAAUGCCGGAUAACAUUUAGAACCGCAUGGUUCUAAAGUGAAAGAUGGUUUUGCUAUCACUUAUAGAUGGACCCGCGCCGUAUUAGCUAGUUGGUAAGGUAACGGCUUACCAAGGCAACGAUACGUAGCCGACCUGAGAGGGUGAUCGGCCACACUGGAACUGAGACACGGCCCAGACUCCUACGGGAGGCAGCAGUAGGGAAUCCUCCGCAAUGGGCGAAAGCCUGACGGAGCAACGCCGCGUGAGUGAUGAAGGUCUUCGGAUCGUAAAACUCUGUUAUUAGGGAAGAACAAAUGUGUAAGUAACUGUGCACGUCUUGACGGUACCUAAUCAGAAAGCCACGGCUAACUACGUG